Molecule: small nuclear RNA, 176 nt
Filed under: Tupaia belangeri chinensis (Chinese tree shrew)
Lineage: Eukaryota; Metazoa; Chordata; Mammalia; Scandentia; Tupaiidae
Description: Tupaia chinensis (Chinese tree shrew) U4 spliceosomal RNA
Rfam family: U4 spliceosomal RNA
About the family: U4 small nuclear RNA (U4 snRNA) is a component of the major U2-dependent spliceosome. The structure of U4 snRNA from yeast and human has been reported.
Source: Rfam by way of RNAcentral
AGCUUUGCGCAGUGGCAGUAUCGUAGCCAAUGAGGUUUAUCCGAGGCGAGAUUAUUGCUAAUUGUAAAAGGUUCACCUCAGAUGUGGCUACAGCCUACGACAAGGUAAGAAUGGGAAACUAUUAUAUAAUAGUUUCUGUUUAGAAUGAUGAAAAACUUUUGGAAACCAAUAGUGGU